RNAcentral lists this long non-coding RNA (652 nucleotides) under Medicago truncatula (barrel medic). RNAcentral's name for it is "long non-coding RNA (MTRU_LNC005400)". The record is from RNAcentral. Lineage: Eukaryota; Viridiplantae; Streptophyta; Magnoliopsida; Fabales; Fabaceae.
UUCCAAUAAAAUACUAAGGAACUAACCCCACACAUCAUUGCCGGCUUAAAAUGGAAGAAUGCAAAUAAAGUUACUUGGAAGAUUCACAAUAGUAUCCUUUAUUACUCACUGCAUCUUCUCUUGACUAUAUGUGUGAAAGCCUCUGGAUUCUCCCCAACAAGCACUUGUUUUUCUAUCUCCAUUUGUACUGGGAAUUAUUGCCACAUAUAAUCAUCUCCAUUUUAAAUAUCUUAUUUUGAAAUAUUCGAAGACAUUUGAUAUCAUCAUAGGCAUAAUUUUUCAAUGAGGUUAGAUAGCAAAAAAUAUAUAUUUAUAUUAUUUAUAUGAUUAUAUGAUAUGAAGCAGCUGAGCUAGCCAAGCUAGCCACCAACUGAAACAACCACCACCCACCUAUAAAGCUGCUGGUAUUUGUACACAAAAAUCAAAUUCAACUAUAUGACUCCAUAGUAGUAAUAGUAGCAAAAUUAGCAACAUCAACUAUACCUCAAUAACACACAUGCAUUAAUUAGUACUAUACGGACUAGAAAAAACCUAGAGGAUGAAUAUGAAUUCAUUAAUUUAAUCAUUUUCUUCUGCCAAUUUUCAAAGUAUUUGAAUAGAUACCCUUUUAAGAGAUGGUGGUGAAUGAAUAUCAUGAGAGAAACAGGUGAUG